GGCGGUUCUCCGCGCGGCGGCACCUCGCUGAAUCCUCCAGGGCCGGAAGGCAGCAAAGGCAGGCGGGCUCUACCGGGUGCGCGGAGAGCCGCUCUU
This 96-nucleotide signal recognition particle RNA is filed under the name Actinomycetes bacterium. Its description in RNAcentral is "signal recognition particle sRNA small type". It matches the Rfam family "Bacterial small signal recognition particle RNA". From Rfam's summary of the family: The signal recognition particle (SRP) is a universally conserved ribonucleoprotein involved in the co-translational targeting of proteins to membranes. Archaeal SRP consists of a 7S RNA and homologues of the eukaryotic SRP19 and SRP54 proteins. In most bacteria, the SRP consists of a 4.5S RNA and the Ffh protein (a homologue of the eukaryotic SRP54 protein). Lineage: Bacteria; Bacillati; Actinomycetota; Actinomycetes. The record is from RNAcentral.